This 200-nucleotide long non-coding RNA is filed under the name Nicotiana benthamiana. RNAcentral's name for it is "long non-coding RNA (NBEN_LNC039243)". Lineage: Eukaryota; Viridiplantae; Streptophyta; Magnoliopsida; Solanales; Solanaceae. The record is from RNAcentral.
UGGAACGAUGUAGUCGAAGGAAAAGUGGAGGUAAAGAAGGCAGCGUUUGCUAAGUAGGCAGGGAGCACAAGCGAGGAAGAAUGCAGAGCGAACAGGGAGAUCCACAAGGUGGCAAGGAAAGAAGCAAAGCUGGCGGUUAUGGAAGCUAAAAACGCGGCGUUUGGUCGCAUGUACGAGGAACUAGGGGAGAGAGGCGGGGN